CUGGCACCUUCGGUGUCCGAGUUGUAAUUUGAAGAAGGUAACUUUGGAGUUGGCUCUUGUCUAUGUUCCUUGGAACAGGACGUCACAGAGGGUGAGAAUCCCGUGCGAUGAGAUGCCCAAUUCUAUGUAAAGUGCUUUCGAAGAGUCGAGUUGUUUGGGAAUGCAGCUCUAAGUGGGUGGUAAAUUCCAUCUAAAGCUAAAUAUUGGCGAGAGACCGAUAGCGAACAAGUACAGUGAUGGAAAGAUUAUUGGCGAGAGACCGAUAGCGAACAAGUACAGUGAUGGAAAGAUGAAAAGAACUUUGAAAAGAGAGUGAAAAAGUACGUGAAAUUGUUGAAAGGGAAGGGCUUGAGAUCAGACUUGGUAUUUUGCGAUCCUUUCCUUCUUGGUUGGGUUCCUCGCAGCUUACUGGGCCAGCAUCGGUUUGGAUGGUAGGAUAAUGACUAAGGAAUGUGGCUCUACUUCGGUGGAGUGUUAUAGCCUUGGUUGAUACU
This 494-nucleotide ribosomal RNA is filed under the name Debaryomyces hansenii. Its description in RNAcentral is "partial large subunit ribosomal RNA". It matches the Rfam family "Eukaryotic large subunit ribosomal RNA", at positions 122 to 576 of the family's 3401-position model. The record is from RNAcentral. Lineage: Eukaryota; Fungi; Ascomycota; Pichiomycetes; Serinales; Debaryomycetaceae.